Molecule: long non-coding RNA, 2252 nt
Filed under: Canis lupus familiaris (dog)
Lineage: Eukaryota; Metazoa; Chordata; Mammalia; Carnivora; Canidae
Description: lncRNA (ENSCAFG00000051507.1, ENSCAFG00845009935.1)
Source: RNAcentral
GAGGAGGCCGGGGGCCCGCAGGGGGCCAGUCCUUGCUUUUUUUUUUUUUUUUUUUUUUUUUUAGUCCUUGCUUAAAUGAAGUGCCAGUGGUUCAAAAGCAGCCAGCAGAUGUGCCAUCUGAUGGGUCAUUUCUCCUUUGAGGGCUACGCUAGUGCCAAGUUACUGAGGUCCCCUGUGAUGUUGAGGCAAGCCAGCCGAUAGGCCAGCAGGUGCUGCAGACGUGUUGUCUGGGCCUGGUGGCCAGAUCAGAACCAACCACGGCCCUGGCCCGCCCGGCCACGUAACCAGUACUCAUCCCUCUGAUUAGGAACUGUGAGCACGGAAUGGGCCAUGCCCAGAAGAUCUGGAAUAAUCAGCAUCAGCGCUUUGCCUUUGCCAUCCAAGACUGCAAACACGCUCUCAUCUGACCUAAUCUGCGGUGUUAAUGAUGGCAGAGCAAUUUCGAGAGGCAACUUGCAGCAUUGAUAAGAAGGAGAGGAAAAGCACCGCGGGGUAUAUGAGGCAGAGAUCUUCACAGCGAAGACAGCUGCUGCCCACCCUCUCAAGACACUUCGUGUAAAUGCUGCCCUCAGAUCUGCCCUGUUUCAGACUUGUGAUGGUAGGAGAAAAAGGACACAGAAGAGCAGAAGGACUAUGCAUGCGACAGGGCAGUGGGGGCUGCCCAUACCACACCUUAGAAUAAACUAGAAAAAUGUGUUCUUUAUUCUAGGGACAUGAAACUCUGAGCCAGACAGGGCACAUGGCUUGUUGAGCAGAGUGUGGGCUGGCUUUGAGCCUCCACUUACUCCCUUGGUUGGGUGUCCUUGUGCAGUGAAUACCCUCCACCUCCAUACAUGGCAGCCCUGAAGACAAAAGGAAAAAUAGAGGGCACAACAGAAACCUGAAACCUCCACGGCAGUACAGAGGUGGGAAAGAUGUAGUGUCUGAUUCCAUCCAUUAAUAGAAAUGCUAGAAGGGGCUUGGAGACCAUCUAGCUAAACCCCUUCAUUGACUAAGAAGCUUAGAGAGGGAGAAUGAUGCACUCAAGUUCGCCUGAACUCUUUCCUCCCAAUAAGAAACUCCACCAAUAGCAGCAAGGUCAGGGACCCAAAACAGUGAGGACCCGCCUGAGGUGUGGAGAGAAGCCCUGUUCUGUCAGGGUGAAAGAAGCAAAAGCCAGCCACAGAGCUCGCCACACCUCCAGUACCCAUUCUUCCCAGAGGGUGGCAGCGGUCUUCCAGCCAGAUGCCCUACCAUCCCAACCUGAACUGCACACUAGCCCUCCCUCCUACUUCUCCCCAGAUCAUAGGGCCAGCUAACUGGGUCCAUGAUUCACUGGGGCAAAGAGAAGCCCCAGGGCCCUUCUCUGCCAGCCCAGCAGCCUUCUUGCCCUAGGAUCCACCCCUCCCACCACCCACCCUGCCCUGGCAUCUAUGGCAGCCCAGUGGGCACUAGCUUGCUCUCAUGUCUCUUGCUCUCUUCUUCCCUCCACCCACUCAUGCUUUUCCAAGUGAAGGGCACCUCCCACCCAGUACAGUCUAGCUACUGGAAUCUUCACAGCAGCAUGGGAUCCACUUUAGAUGGACCAAAGUCAUCUAAAGUCUAGACCAAAGUCUAGACCGUGAGACCAAAGUGAGGUUGUGAUGUUCCUCUGCUGGAGAUCCUCCCCUGGCUCCCAUUUUACUCUGUGGUAAGAGGACUUACUGGGCUAUGGGCUCUGUCCCCUCCCUUCCCUGUGAUUUCUCUGACUUCAUCUCAUCUUUCUCUUCACCUCACUGACUGCGUGCCAGCCAACUGACCUCCUUGUUGGCCCUGUAACUCCUUUCUCAGGACCUUUGUGUCCUGCUGUUCCCUCAGCCCAGUCCCUCAGGUCUCUGUCCAGAUGCCCCCUCUGCAUGGAAGCUUUCCUGGCCAUCCUAGCUAACACAGUACCUCAUUACUCUCAUCCCCUGACCUUCUUUAUUUUCCCUUAUAGCAUUAAUCUCGUCAGUUUCUCACUAGGAUUUAAGUUUUAUGCAGGCAAGGACUUGGUCUUGUUCAGUGGUGCACUCCCGUCCCUGAGACAGUGCACGGUACAUUGUGAGUGCUCAGCUUGUCAAAAGACUAAAUGAGGAGUACCUGGGUGCCUCAGUCAAUUAAGCAUCUGCCUUUGGCUCAGGUCAUGAUCCCAAGGUCCUGAGAUGGAGCCCCACCUCAGGCUCCCUGCUCAGUGGGGAGUCUCCUCCCUCUCUCUCUGCCUCUCUCCCCAGUUUGUGCUCUCUCUCAUUCACUCU